CCCUUAGAUGUUCUGGGCUGCACGCGCGCUACACUGUCGGAUUCAGCGAGUCAUAUCCUUAACCGAAAGGUUUGGGUAAUCUUUUGAAAGUCCGACGUGAUGGGGAUUGGUCGUUGCAAUUAUUGAUCAUGAACGAGGAAUUCCUAGUAAGCGCGAGUCAUCAGCUCGCGUUGAUUACGUCCCUGCCCUUUGUACACACCGCCCGUCGCUACUACCGAUUGAAUGGUUUAGUGAGAUCUUCGGAUUGGCGCCUACGCGGCUUCUCUGAGGCCACGCUGGAUGCCGAAAAGUUGCUCAAACUGUAUCAUUUAGAGGAAGUAAAAGUCGUAACA
This 332-nucleotide ribosomal RNA is filed under the name uncultured eukaryote. RNAcentral's name for it is "partial 18S ribosomal RNA". It matches the Rfam family "Eukaryotic small subunit ribosomal RNA", at positions 1470 to 1796 of the family's 1831-position model. The record is from RNAcentral.